Transfer RNA from Allomyces macrogynus ATCC 38327, 73 nucleotides. It matches the Rfam family "tRNA". From Rfam's summary of the family: Transfer RNA (tRNA) molecules are approximately 80 nucleotides in length. Their secondary structure includes four short double-helical elements and three loops (D, anti-codon, and T loops). The record is from Rfam. NCBI's taxonomy places the organism in Eukaryota, Fungi, Blastocladiomycota, Blastocladiomycetes, Blastocladiales, Blastocladiaceae.
GGGGUUUUAGCUCAGUGGUAGAGCGCUCGCUUCGCAUGCGAGAGGCCGGGGGGAUCGAUCCCCCCAACCUCCA